UCUCUCCUUUAAUUUUCCACGCACAAAACUCCUGGGUUUUUGGCAUCUCAUCUGAUCUCUUCUCAGCCUCCCAACAUUCCUUGCAACCCAUAUUUAAAUAGGCUAAAGGGAUAAGACUUUGGGUAGGAAGAUAAGAGUCCAUAACGCUUAGGACUCUUAAAAUUUUUAUGCCGCCCAUAACAAGGUUUCACGCUCAGAUUUCUCACGGAAGAAAAGAAGAUUAAACUCCUCCUUACACGUUAAAAGGUGAUGGGGCGUGGAGUAUUUGUGGCGCACAAAAUCAAGGUGGUGUGGGGUUAUUUUAAGGUACAUGAAAGGAAGAGUUUCAAUCCAUAUAGGACUCUUGUUUAGGUGGCUGUUUUGAAUCAAAUUAAAACUCCAAUCAAUCCUAAUCAUAUUAGGACCAGAUUAGACCCAAAUAGAUGAAAAUUCAAAUCUGAUUUGGAGUCCAAAUUAUUUAGAUUAGAUGUCACCUAAUUAGAGAAGUCCUAGUCCUUUUGGGCUCUUUUUUGGUGCUUGAGUCAAACUCAAUUUAAUCCUAAUCCAAUUAGGAUUUAGUACACCCAUGAAAAUGAGAAUUUUUAGUCCAAAUAGGAACUCAUACAUCCUAGUCUAAUUAGAAAUUGAGUCAAAUUCAAAUCCAAAUUCAAAUAGGAAUCAUUCUCUCAUACAAUUUAGAUUAUCUUAUAACCCAAUCAGGUUUGAUCAAAUCAAACCCAUAUCAAAUCAAAUUAAAUUCAAUUUAAUUAGACUUCAUAUAAGCCCCAUAGCUCAAUCAAAUUGAACCACUUAGCAAUCCAAUUGCUAAUUAAUCCUCCUAUAACUCAGUAACUCUUUAACGAGUUACUUGAUUGCAACUUUUAUAUUGGAUCAAUCAUCAAUCAAAUUGAUAAUCAAAUCCUAUCACGAAUCAUAAUCGUAAUUUAACCAUCUGAUCGGUCAAAAAUCUCUUUUAUGUGUGGUCCCAUAAGUUCUAUUCUGUCUAGUAGUGAGAUAUAUUGUGAUCCCUAUUAUAAUAUCAUUGAAACUCUUUUCAAUGGGUUGGAACCGUUCCAACUCUGCCCAUCAAGGAUCAUCGAUCAUCAAGAUGAUGCUUGUGAGUCUCAUAAUCCACCAGUGACACCUAGCAGUAUGUAGUGGCAAUCCAAUAGAAUAAAAGAUGAUGAACCUCUAGGUGCAGUUAACAUAUGAUACAAUCCCUCUAUCGUGAGUUAUGACCAGAUGACGGAUCAUUGAUAAAUCGUCAAACCUCAAUAUCGAUCAUAUGAUAGAUUCAAUCAGCUCGAGUCCAUAUGUGAUUCUAUGAAAACUCUUUUCCAUCAAUCACACUACUAUGGCCAUAGACUUAAGGACUCAGCCUCUCAAAUCUCAUAGGACUACUCUCUUCUGCUAGGAUCGAUAGAUUCCAUCUUGAUGCACACCCUACUCCUACAGUGGAUCAACUAUCGCCAACAUCCACUACAAAAGAGCUCAUUGAGACCUAUAUUGAUGUGUCAGUCAAAUUCCAGCAGCUUCACUACGAGCAGUAGUGCCAUCUUAGAUCAAAGGACUAGUCAUACAACUACAGCAUCGAGAAAGUCACUAACGAAUGAGCAGACAUCCAUGUGACUUCUUAUGUUGGUCACGCUCAGUGCCAGUUAUUCUCUAACAACCACCUACACUCUCACUCCAGUAUCACUACACCGCAGACUCGAGAUCUAUUUGUCUGAAGAAAGCGAUCCGUGCAUUGAUUUAUCCAGAUCAAUCACCAUUCCCAUGAUAAUCCUAUGACUAGGAGUAAUUUAGGAAUCAACCAUCAAUGACACAUGUCUCAAAUUCUCAACUCUUUAAGAAUAUAUGUCAUCAUCUUGUUAAUCUCUUUGAUGAUUCAUGGACACAUAAAUAUGAAUGGUAAUAUAAAUGCCCAAUAGGUAUAAAACUAUGUUCUAGAAAUAUGAUGUGUCAGUCAGAAUUGACUUCUAGGGCAUACACCCAACAAUCUCCCACUUGCAUUAAAGCCAAUCUGCUAUGUACCAAGCCCCAUCUUCACAAGAUAGGCUUUUGUCUCUGGCUAGCUAAAUAACUUACCAAUGGGUCAUCCACAUCUUAUGUAGAGUUUGCUCUCUGCACCUCUGUGUAUUUCUACUGGAGGUAGUCAUGUGUUCUACUACUCUAUGUGUUUGGAUAUCUAGUGAGACCUAAGCUCCUUAGCAAGGGCUAUGGUGCCAUUGUCUUUGCAGUAUAAUAUCAUGGCAUCUGAUGGCACAACAUCCAAUUCUGCAACUCACAUUAGAACCAAAAUACAUCCUAUACAUCUAUAGUGUGCUCAGCUUCCAUCGAUCGAUUAUUUGAAAUCUUUUCAAGAUAUCGAUACAGGAACACACCCCAUGAUGUGACAUUCUACCAUCCACAUCAGAUAUAUAAUCUGAAUUGAUGUAUCCUUCCACUCCUAGCUUUGAUCCUUUUUUAAUUUAAGAACAAAUUCUUAGUUCUUCUUAAGCACUUAAGGAUGUUUUCACAGCAAUCCAGCGCUCUCAGCCUGGAUAUAACUGAUAUCUACUCGUGACAUUCACAAUAUUAACUAUAUCAGUUUAAGUACAUUACAUGGCAUAUAUCUAUGUCCGAGAGGGUAGCAGAUCCCUCUUCGAGAUUUUUAUGCUGAACCUUUUCAGUAUCUACUCUCUAUACUUUAUCUGUAAAAAUAUAAGCAUCUAAUUACAUCUAUCUCUAUAGAUCUUUAGGAUGCUCGCUUUAUGUCUUUUAUAAAAAAAUCUAUAUUUAAUCAUAUUUUAAUCGAUGUCAGUAUUAGAUACCCCCACUGAUCCUUUUGAAAACAUAUAAUUUUUCAUUUCUAAUCAAACAAUUUGAUCGUAUCAUCAAAAUGAUUGUUCCAACUCCAAGAGUAUUGUAGACUUUAUUAUCUCCUAUCACAAGAAGUGAAAUUCAUAAGCUACUCCAUAUAGAAAUCUUCAGAAGAUAUCCAGUCAGGAAAGCUAACUCACAUCCCUUUCUUAGAGUCGAUAUCUUAUAUCGUCUCCAUGCUCUCCAUCUCCCAUGAGAAAUGACUUUCUCUACAUCCUCUGUUAAGCAUAUCCAAAUACCUUUUGAGGAGAUUAGAGAUCCUACUAUAUGUACAAGGUGAAGGAAGAAUAUACGUCUACUGGCUCAUUAUGAAUAGGUUCUUUAGGUCCUACAGCUCAUUGCGCUUCAGAGACACUCUUUGAGCAUAACUUUCCUCCCACUACUUCAUCUUGGUUAAAUAAUUUUUCAAGAAGGUAGUAUGUCGGAUCACAAUCACAUUGUGAUCCUAUCAGAAAGUAGUAUCCUAAACUCUUUUAGGAUGAGCUUUAUAGAUCUAUCCUCUAACAUAUCCACCUGCUGUCCUAGACACCGGCUGGACAUACUUGAAUUUCAAAAUAAUUAAGAUUUAGUUCUCACCAUGUCAUAUCUUAUAUGGUGUGGUAUGAACAGGUUUAGAGAAAACCCAAUUAUAUAGAAAUAAAGCAUGUCCUUAAAGAAACAUAAAUAAAUCAGUAGAGUUCAUUAUGGACCAGACCAUAUCUCAUAUAGUCUCAUGAUUCUUCUUAUCUCGUUGAGCUGAGAUGUACUAAGAGCAAUCCAAUAUGAAACUAUCCUAUUUUAUGAGAUAACUGAAAAAUUUCUUUCAUUGGUAUUACAUACUCGAUUCGAUCGAAAUAUCUUUAAGAAUUUUUCGAUUUAUUUCUUUACUUACAUCUGAAUUCUUUGAACUUUUCAACAGUUUCAGAUUUAUAUCUCAUAUACAUACGCAUACCAUGACUGAUCAUCGGUAAAGAUAACAAAGUAGAAACAACUCCUUGGUUAGCACAUUAUAUAGGCUACACACACAUCAAAUGUGUACAAGGAUAAGUAUCUCAGUGAUCUUUUUUUCUCUUGUCCCAUAAGAGUAGUUUAGUCAUAUUUUCUUAAAGAAAUGAUGCACAAAUUAGAUUUGACUCAAUAGUCAAUAAGCCCAUAAUUCUCUAGUUUGUUAAUCAUUUCUUCUCCAAUAUGACAUAGCCUAAGGUUCUACAUAUAGAUUCAUCUCAAUUCUGGAUCUCUCAGAUCCAACGGUAUUCACUACUUACUUAAUUAAGUUCACAGAUGCAUCACCAUGCAAAUGAUAGAGACUAUCUCUAAGAACUAAAUCCAAACGAUAAUCACAAAGGAUGGAUACCUAUGGCCACAAUAGCAACUGUUGUCCUAUAGCCAAUUUAAGAAUUAUUUUCUCAGCCCUCUACUUUUCCAUCGACUCUAUAAAAAUUACUAGUCUACAGCUCAAUGGAAGAAGAAAAAAUUAUAAGGAUAGUAUUGAGCAAUUUCGACAUGCCUACUCUAGGUGUGUUUUUAUUUCUUUAGGCUCUCCAGAUAUUUACCUCUGAACUCUUUCAAGGUUCCUUUGUUAUCAAUAUUUUGAUCAAUUCAGAUAAGAUGCCAAGAUGGUCUUUCAUAUGGUAGUUUAUUAUAAACUAUCCAUAUAAAUUAAUCAGAGAUUGUAGGAUCAAAUCCAUAAGUAAUUUCUCAUGUAUGGUCAUGUCGAGCCUUUUAGGUUUCUUAAUGUCCUCGAUUAUUAUCAAAUAACGAUCAUAGAUUGACUGCCCAUCAUGCAUCAGAUGCACUGUGCGACUCUGAUCAUCUCAUAACACUUGUAGAUGAAUUAAUGUGUCGUUCACAGUGAAUAUGUGCUCAUGCAUACAUUGAAGUUCAUCUAACAUAGACUUCAAUAUUUAGCAUCUAUCUUAACUGUCAUUGUCCAUCCACUCAUCAAGUAUGGCUCGUUGACUAUGGAUUGAACAUGUUGUUAACAUUAAAAUAAUCUGGUGGAGAAUAUUACUUAAUUUUUUUAAAUUAAGAAUAAUUCUUAAGAUAUAAGCCAGUCUAUGUAAUCGAUUUUAAUUAAUCGAUUAAUAUCUAGGAUUCAAGUUAGAUGGUUGGAAGCUGACAAUGAACAAGAGAGAGCAAAGAUUCUAAUUGGAUGUUUGUACUUAUUUUAUAAUUUGCUCUAGAGACUUUUAGAUGCAAAAAGAGACUCACUAUUUUAUCAGAUCUUCCACAUUCUCCGGAUGGAGAAACAAAAAUUCUAAUACGAUAACUGAAUUUUUAGUAGAUGCUGCGGUCCCACUGAGGCCAUACACCUCACCUAACAGUUAUUGAUAACACGAAUGAACACAGAUAUAUAAAUAACUCUUUGUUUAGAUACUUCUCUAAGUAUGUUGUAGCCACUUGAUCUCUAAAUCAUGUGGGCUCACCUAACAGUUAUUAUCCACACUCCUUAGUUAAGUCAGACCCAUCAUUCACAAGCAGGUGCAAAGCCGUCAUUAGGUCCCUCACCUAACAGUUAUUGGGUCCAACCCCAUCUUUAUCUUGGAGUAAAUCUUUGCUAAUAGAGUGAUCGUGUGUUUCCGAUGCAACUGAACAACUGUGACCAAUCGAGAACAAUCAAUCCGGUAGCACGUCUGCACAUCUACAAUGGUGGAAGAUCUUAGAUUUAAUAUUUAUGGAGAGAUUUAAAUUUAGGUCUCAUCUAAUCGGUCAUCACAUGACUGAUGUAACUGACAUAAGCUAAAUCAAAUCAUCAAGCAACCAUAUUUGAGACUCAAUCUUCCAAAUUGGCCAGAUAAGUGGAGAUUGGUGGGGGUCCCUCCGUUGCUUUCCUCAGACACCAAUAAAUUGGUCAGAUCAGUGAACGAAACCAAUUAAAUAACCAUCUUUCAAUUACUUGUCUUAGACACCAAUUGGUUAAUUGAUCCAAAUAGAUUAGCUUAGGUGAAUUAGAUUCGAGCCAUAGGGCCAAACUAGAUCCUUAGUUAAUCGAUUCUACAUAUAGGUGUCAAUCGAUUCGAUCAACAAUAAUUAUAUGAUCUUUAGCUCUAUUAAUCUUACUCUAAUCGAUACUUGACUCAGUUUGAUCAACUACUAAAUUAAUUUAGACCCAAUAUGAUCAAAUCAGAAACCUUCAAUGUAAUCAAAUUACAUGACCUAAUUUGAUCUACCCAUGACCAAUCCCUUAUGCACAAAUACUAAUUUUAGAUCUCAAAUCUAAAUUUUAAAAUCUAAAUUCUUUGCAUGAAGAAAUAAAUUUUGAUCUCAAAAUAAUUUUAGAUUAUACAUACAAAUAUGUAUCAUAUACAUGAACAAAUUCAGAUCAUAAAAAUAAAUUUCAGUCCUAAACAUACUUUUAUAUAUCAUAUAUAUGAAUCAAAAUAGAUCUCGAAACUCUUUUCAGAUCUAAAUAACAAAACAUAUAUCAUAUAUAUACUAAAAAAAUUAGAUCUAAUUUUUUUUAAUUAAAAAUUUUAACAUCGUUCUAGGACAACCAUUUAGCAUAACAAGUUAUGCCAGGACAACCUUAUGUCAGAACGAUAUCAAAAACUUUCGGAUCUAAAAUUUUUCUCUAUAGAUUUCAGAUCUAAAUCCUAAUCUUAUACAUAUGACGUAGCUCUGAUACCACUAUUGGAGUUUUAUGAUUUCAUGUAUGUAAAAUUUUUCAAAAAUAUGUAGCAAAAUUUAAAAUAUUUUUCAGAUUAAAUCUAAUUUAAUCCUAGCAUGCAUAAGAUCAAAUCUUCAAACUAUAAAUAGGAUCAUCGUAUGUGAGAUAAGAUUUAGAUAUAAAAAUUAAAUAAAAAAAUAAAUAGAGAAUAUACCUUGACAUGGAUCAAUCUUCAUCGUGAAUUGAUAAUCAUAGAUAUUUUUUGAAGGUCCCUUGUAGCCGCACAAAUAUCCGACCUCUACGGAUAUCCACACGAGAUUCUGAUCUAAUCAGAAGCUUUUUGAUCUCACUGGGGUGCUAGCUCCCUUGUAGAGAUCACAUCUUGAUAGUUGAAAAAUCUUCUUUUCUCUCAAGAUACUCUUAGAGAACAAGAAGAAAUAAGAGGAUAUUGAUCUCUACGCUAGAGAUCAUGAGAAAAUUUUUUUCUUCUCUUUUCUUCCUAUAACCCAUGCACCAAAUCUCUACAAUAGAGAUGUAAAAAUUUUGUCCAACUUUUGGAUAAAAGAGAGGAGAGAAAUCCAUGUCUAAACAUGGACAAAAGAGAGAGAGAGAUGUCCAAACAACCAACACUUAGUUGUGUGUAAGAAAGAAAGGAUAUGGGGAUACAUACCUCAUGCUAACACCUACACGUCGUCCCUCUCUCUUCCUUAAUUUUUUGUGCACAAAACUCCUGGGUUUUUGGCAUCUCAUCUGAUCUCUUCUUAGCCUCCCAACAUCCCUUGCAACCCACAUUUAAAUAGGCUAAAGGGCUAAGACUUUAGGUAGGAAGAUAAGAGUCCAUAACACUUAGGACUCUUGAAAAUUUUAUGCCACCCACAACAAGGUUUCAUGCCCAAAUUUCUCACAGAAGAAAAGAAGAUUAAACUCCUUCUUACAUGUUAAAAGGUGAUGGGGCGUGGAGUAUUUGUGGCACACAAAAUUAAGGUGGCAUGGGGCUAUUUUAAGGCACAUGAAAGGAAGAGUUUCAAUCCAUAUAAGACUCCUGUUUAGGUGGCUAUUUUGAAUCAAAUGAAAACUUCAAUCAAUCCUAAUCAUGUUAGGACCAGAUUAGAUCCAAAUAGAUGAAAAAUCAAAUAUGAUUUGGAGUCCAAACUAUUUAGAUUAGAUAUCACCUAAUUGGAGGAGUCCUAGUUC
This 7621-nucleotide long non-coding RNA is filed under the name Elaeis guineensis (African oil palm). RNAcentral's name for it is "long non-coding RNA (EGUI_LNC058364)". Lineage: Eukaryota; Viridiplantae; Streptophyta; Magnoliopsida; Arecales; Arecaceae. The record is from RNAcentral.